Molecule: long non-coding RNA, 464 nt
Filed under: Phascolarctos cinereus (koala)
Lineage: Eukaryota; Metazoa; Chordata; Mammalia; Diprotodontia; Phascolarctidae
Description: lncRNA (ENSPCIG00000031950.1)
Source: RNAcentral
UGGGCCUCACUCCAGCCGCGGGGGAAUCAGCCCCUUUUUACAGAGGAGGAAACUGAGGCAGGCAGGUUAGCCAGACAGCUAGUAAGGGGCCUGUCUGAUGCGGGACUCAAACACAUCUUCCUCACCGAAGCACAAGGUUCUGACCGCAGCUUGAAACGGGGGAGUUGCAAGGAGCUGGGGGGUCAGAGGGGCAAAAGGAGGUCAAACCAGGUCAUGCUCCCAGCGCUCCGAGUCCUGAAGUCUUUGGCAGUCUUCCAGUGUAUAUACAGUGUUGCCCAGGUUCUGCCAACGAUCCCAUGGAGGAGUACCUUGGCCAUUCUUCACUCUAGCCAGGGGCAGUGUGGCAUAACGGCAUUGGAUUUGGAAUUGAUGCACCUCAAGACACCAGCUCUCCUCCUCUCUACCAGUUCUACCUUGGUAAUUUCAAUAAUAAUAAUAAUGAUGAUGAUGAUGAUGAUAUCCAG